CCCCAGCCAUCGCCUGGAGGGCAUCCAGUGUCUGUUAUCACUCACCUUGGGUAGUCUGUGAAGGUCCAGUCAUCACUGGUGCACGUGUAUCUUACCUGUGAUCAACACCGGCAGCCACAGACUCCUGCCCAAGGAACGAACACAGUGAUCGUGAUGACAUUGACAACAACGAGCAAGUCCUCCUAGACCUAGAGUGACCUCAAGCUGGGCCAAACAUGAUGUGGAAGAAGAAAUCAGUUGUCUCCAUCAGUCGGGUUUGUGCCAUGGCAGCUUUCUCCAGCUGUCCGGCAGAGGUCCAGUCCAUGCCAUGGAGAAAUUCAGCCCCCAACAAUGAGAUGGCAUGCCAGAGAUGGAUCCGCAGCUUCUCCUCCAAUCAGUCAAUCCUUGCAAUGCCCUUUCUCUUUUCUCUUCUUCUGUACCACCAUGCUUACACAUAACUGAUCCAAGGUACUUAAACUCGUUAACCUCCUCCAUUUCUUCACUAUUCAAAAUUAUUUGGCAU
This is a long non-coding RNA of Eriocheir sinensis (Chinese mitten crab), 502 nucleotides long. RefSeq lists it as uncharacterized. NCBI's taxonomy places the organism in Eukaryota, Metazoa, Arthropoda, Malacostraca, Decapoda, Varunidae. The record is from RefSeq and is a predicted model, not a curated record. The transcript has 3 exons.